AGUAAGGCUUUCAGUACAUUAGUAGCAAGUAAAAUGCAAAUGCUUUUUAACAUGAGUAAACUAAAGUAAAGCAGGCGUGUCAUUUCAUUAUUAUACAUGCACACAUAUUUUAGUGGUAGGAUUCGUUCCGUAUGGAGGGAUCAUAUUAUCAGUGUAUUUGAAUUGGUUCUUAACUUUUUAUAUUGGUUAUCCAGUUUUUGUUAUCAUGAGAAAAACAAAAUUAAAAUUAAAAUACAAACAUAUCCUUUCACAAUGACUAGCACUUUGCACAUUUUCCCGAAAGAAAAUCAUUUUCCUCGAUCAGAUUCCACUCAAGUAGAGUUGAUGAGGGCGCUCAUCAUUUUAAAGGAACUUUUAUUACAAUUGUCAUUGUUAAAUUUUUUAUUUAUCUUUAUAUAUAUGAUCCAUAUAUGUGAGAUAUGUGCACUCUGUUGCAGGAAUAUGGGCCGGUAUAUCAACGGUGGUUCACACGCAGUUGUUCUCACAUUCGUCAAAAGAAAGGCAAGCCCGCCGGAUGGCUUUUACUCCUACCAAGAUUGUAUCUGUGCCUAAAGUUUUAGUCAUCGACAUCUUGUAUGGUAUAAAUUGUAGGAAAAUAGGAGAGACAGAAGAGGGAUAGAGAUAGAUCUUCCCCAGAGACAUCAGUAUUAAUUAAGCCAAUAAGGCUUAAGGUUAAAUUUUCAAAAACCCUGCAAAUACCCCUCUCUUUAUAUAAGUCCACUGCUAAUCAAUUAAAUAAAAGAAGAGGGUAAAAGAGUAAUGGUACAUGCAGCUGUGAGGAUUAUACAGACGGCGAGGAUUACACAAACCAAAACUGUUUGCAGUUUUCAUUUGUGAGAGUUGGUUACGGAUGGCUCAAAUGAUGAGCCACGAAGAACUCCCGAUGGGGAAGGGUAUCUUCUUCUACGACGAUCCCUCGCAACUCGAGGAGGCCCAGCUACGCUUACACCGCCUCAAGACCAAGUUUCACAAGGUCUUCGGGCACCUUCCUCAAGUCUACGCUCGCUCUCCAGGGAGAGUGAAUUUGAUUGGAGAGCAUACAGACUAUGACGGAUUCUCGGUGUUGCCGAUGGCGAUAUAGCAGGAUAUAUACUAUUGUGGCGAUUAGGAGGAACGAAGGGGAGAAGGUUCUGAGAAUUGCGAAUGUUAAUGAUAAGUAUGAAAUGUGUACUUAUCCUUCUUAUCCUAACCAGGUACAAAUGUUUCUAUGAAUUUGCCAAAUCCCGAGGAAUAGAUCUGGGUGCACCAGUGGAACAGUUCCUACAGGUCUUUGUAAAGAUAUAAGAUGGCUGUCAUUUGGAUGGUCUCUGAACCGGGUCAGUGAAGAAGGAAAACAGAGACACAGUUUCUUUUCUAUGGUAUUUCCUGUAUAACAAAUCGGAGAACUGGGGAAGAAAGAAGUAUAAAGCUGAUUACGAGGGAAUAGGAUGGAACAGAGUGGAAGACCGAAAAGGAGUAUAAACUACUUGGGUGAUAGAGUUUGCUCCCUUCCAUUAAUUUUUUUACUUUUUUCAUUCUUUUCUUUGGCUUACCUUUUUUCAUCUUCAUAUCCCAGAUUAAGCGUGGGUUUGGGUAUGAACAGUUAGUAGUGGCUACUAGCAAUGUACUGUAGUCUGUAUGGCUUCUUUUUUCUUUUUUAGUGUGUUCUUUUGUCCUUGAUGCUGCUCAUGUCUAGGUGGCUCUCAAAAUCGGUGUGUAAUUUUCAUUGAAUGUAUUAUCUUUCUCAAAACAGUUUCAUUCCUUCAGUUUGAUCAUGGGAAGGUUGUGGUCACUGGUGGAAGACACAAGACACAGGGGGACGUAUUUAAGUCAUUGAUAGGGAGAAGCAUAUAUUCAGGGCUGUGAUUAUUUGCGUCUUCCAUGGCUCAGUAAUGUGUUCAGCAUUUGUAAGAGUACAAAGGCUUGAGUUUUCCUUCUCGAGUAAAAGGUAUUGAGCUGUCCAUUGCAGAUGGGAACAAGAGAAGACUUGGCUGCUCAAAGGGCUACCACUACGUAAAAUGUUCAAAGAAAUAUGUGGUCGAUGUGCGAUUUGUAAUUUAGAUGCUACUUGGGUGAACCAAUUGAGCAAUUGAAUCUUUUUAAUUAGCUUUUCUGAGAAAGAUUUUCAUGUUCUUUGGUAGUCCUAAUUUGUGAAAGAUUUUUCCUUUUAUACCUAUUGACUUACAUGACUGGAAACAAUUUGUAUUAGUUUACAAAAUUGUGUGUAAUUUUUUAUUUUGGUGUA
This is an RNA transcript of Rosa chinensis, 2224 nucleotides long. RefSeq lists it as uncharacterized. The transcript has 7 exons. Lineage: Eukaryota; Viridiplantae; Streptophyta; Magnoliopsida; Rosales; Rosaceae. The record is from RefSeq and is a predicted model, not a curated record.